Long non-coding RNA from Wasmannia auropunctata (little fire ant), 228 nucleotides. RefSeq lists it as uncharacterized. The record is from RefSeq and is a predicted model, not a curated record. NCBI's taxonomy places the organism in Eukaryota, Metazoa, Arthropoda, Insecta, Hymenoptera, Formicidae. The transcript is spliced from 3 exons.
UCUGCCUGGUGCAUCUAUAUUUUUAACUGUUGUUAAUUCAUUGCAAAUUGCUCUCCAUUAUAAAAAACUCAUAGACUUUGUAGAUUCAAUUACAAAAAAGUAUGGAAAUAUUACUCGUUUUAUCUUAGGAAAAGAUGUGGUCGUAGUACUUUCAAAACCCGAAGAUUGUAGGCUUGUGCUUUCGAACGUAAAUGGUACCUACAAAGCAUCGGUGACCAAAACACGGGA